GCUAAUACUGUAUUCCCAGAAAUACUUUUUCCCUAAUAGUUAUGAGGUUAGUAUUUCAUUUGUACACAGCAUACUUUAAGUCUGUACCAACACUAUUCCACUGUGAUGUUAAAACUAUAAUUUAAAAAUCCUGAAUAAAUUCUAUAAAUAUUGCCAGAAGUACCCAGGUACCAAAUUAACCAAAUCAAAAGAAACACUUACAAAUGCAAAACUAAAUCUCUCUGUUCUGGCAAGAAUAACAAUAAAAAAUCUAAACCUUUUUGCACAUUUGAACAGGGAAAAUAUUUUAUUGGGUGGAGACUGAAGACAAUACGUAAUCAAUCUGCAGAAUGAAGAAAGCUGAGCCAUUCUAGCUGAUCCACUUGAGAGAGAAUCUCAGGUGUUCAGCAUAAUGACUUGGCAAGAUAUGUUGUUAGUCUUAUCUUGAAAGUGAUAGGUAUAUGAAACCAAGAGUUGUUAAAUCUCUCUUCCCAGAAGUCCACCACUUUACAAGGUUCCAAGAAGGCUUUUUUUUUUUUUUUUUCCUCUCCCCUCCAGCAUGCUAGCUAAAUCAGUCUUUAUUUUGCUUAUACUAUUUUGUUUAAUGUUUCCAUUAUUGGAGUGUCUUCUGCGUUAUGUUUCAGCCAACAUAGGCUAUGUGCAACUGGGGCUAUGUGUUGAAGGCCCAAGACCACUGCCUGCUUUCUGUAGAACAGUCUUCUCUUCCUAAAGUCCAGUUAUUAAGAAAAAAGAUUCCUUCCUCCACAUCUCAAUUUAACAAUUACUGAGGCUUCCUGCACUAUCCUGCACAUCUCAUGGAGUAAGUGACUCAUAGAAUCCCUGUGCUGCUGAGCAGAAAUUAAAAAGAAAAGAAAACAAAACCAAUUUACGUCAUUGAGGCUAAACUAGCCCUUGGAGGAAGCUCUCUCCAGGUCUUUGAAAGAUGUUCAGAAGGAUGCUUACAAAACAAGCCUUUAAAAUACAGCCCAUUUGUGAAGAUAACCCAAUUUGCAAGGAAAACUUGAGGACACUUGCAAUGUUCCAGAUUAAAGCAAAGAAUCACAGAAUGAUAGACUAUCCUGAGUCAGAAGGGACCUGCAAAGAUCAUUGAGUCCAACUUCUAUCAUUGAGUGCAGCUCCUAAAACAGUCAUUGUCACAGCUUGUUGGUGAGUUGUUUAAAAGAGAGACUCACAUGCAUAUUUUUAGCUUUGUUUGUUUAAGGGUUUAUAAAUAAGGCUAGAAAACAAUAAGAAAAAACCAUCUGGUUCUUCCUACUGGAGAAGUCAUGUCAGACACAAACUCCAGAAUGGUAAUAUAAUGCGUUUAUAAGGUUUGAGAGCUGAUAGAAGUCAGUGGUUUAGUGGUUGUAUUUUUGUCUGGUAAUGAUUACAUUUUACAGAUAAAACACUGUGCACUUGCUUAGGUCCUGCAGAAACACUGAAGAUUUCAGAAAGCCAUGUUUGUGUUUAAAGACUGAACAGAAUAAUAAUCUGUAAAACCUACUUUCUUUGAAGAGUUUGCAUUCUCAUCCUUUACAGGAAUGACUAGGAAAGAAAAUGUCACUCUGAGUUAGUGUAACCUUUGUCUUGCCUAGUCUUGCUUUGGUGUGUGAUGUACUGUGUAGCAGCAAUCACCAGAUAAGUUUUGCUGGAUGUUAAGCCUAAAGAGAUACAUAACCAUGUGACUCCUCUACCAUUCACAUUGUUUGUCCUGAGGCAGGUAUUCAGAUUUUAUAAGUGAUGAGCUCAUUGAGAUUUCUGCUUCUUAAAAGCACCUCAGGGACACAUUUGUCUGUUUGCCAUUCUGUAUUUAAAGUCUCCUACUCCAGAAAUUGUUGCAACGUCUCCAUUCAGCUAUCAGUGUAGAAUCAGUAGCUUAGAUUCCAAAAACACACAUCUUCCUAUGGAUGGUUAAUGAAUCAGCUUUGGAAAUCAAACAGAAAUAAUCAUGAGGAAUCUUUUAUUCAUGACACAUAAACACUUUCUGCUUUAACAAAAUUACUCUUUUAAUUGUGUGUUUGGGAAGUUUCCUUGCAAACUAAGGGUGUGCUGAGUCCGCUGUUUGAAAUAGUGGAUCACCCACCAAUUGCAGGUGUAAUGAGUGGUGGGGAGAGGCUUAGAAAAAUGAGCCCAUGAGAAUCAUAGACUGGCUUGGGUUGGAAGGGACCUUGAAGAUCAUCUAGUUCCAACCCCAAGAAUACAAUAACUGAAAGCAGAAACCAUGUUGGAAAAUAUCUGCAACACAAGUCUUCAGCAAGAAUCUAUUUUUAGGAGAAAACCAAAUUGCAUUUGGCUACAAUAGGAAUUCUGGACAUAAUUCUGCAAUCAGUUUAAACUAGUGCACAAGAUGUACAAAUGCCUAUUAUAUCUGUCUCACCAUAUUACAUUUUGAUAUUUAAACUGCCUGAUUAGUGCAGUCUCCCAUACUAGAUGAUAAUCCAGCUGAAGAAUAUUAAUUUUCCUAAGAAACAUAAAGAGAAAGCUAAUUUAAAAACAACAACAAGAAGAUAACAAAAACAAUUUAUGCAAGGAACAUUCUGUCUUCCUAUUAUUAAUAAUAUAGCAUGUGUCCAGGAAUUUUUAUGUUAAAGAAUUUGAAAGCACUUUAGAAACUGGUAAACCCUACUGUAUAUAGCAUCACACUGCAGUCUUAGAA
RNAcentral lists this long non-coding RNA (2635 nucleotides) under Anas zonorhyncha (Eastern spot-billed duck). RNAcentral's name for it is "lncRNA (ENSAZOG00000014027.1)". Lineage: Eukaryota; Metazoa; Chordata; Aves; Anseriformes; Anatidae. The record is from RNAcentral.